GUGCACGCUGGCGGUAGGCCUAACACCUGCCAGUCGCACGGCAGCACAGUAAGAGCUUGCUCUUACGGGUGGCGAGUGGCGGACGGGGGAGGAAUACAUCGGAAUCUACUUUUUCGUGGGGGAUAACGUAGGGAAACUUACGCUAAUACCGCAUACGACCUACGGGUGAAAGCAGGGGAUCUUCGGACCUUGCGCGAUUGAAUGAGCCGAUGUCGGAUUAGCUAGUUGGCGGGGUAAAGGCCCACCAAGGCGACGAUCCGUAGCUGGUCUGAGAGGAUGAUCAGCCACACUGGAACUGAGACACGGUCCAGACUCCUACGGGAGGCAGCAGUGGGGAAUAUUGGACAAUGGGCGCAAGCCUGAUCCAGCCAUACCGCGUGGGUGAAGAAGGCCUUCGGGUUGUAAAGCCCUUUUGUUGGGAAAGAAAAGCAGCAGGUUAAUACCCCGCUGUUCUGACGGUACCCAAAGAAUAAGCACCGGCUAACUUCGUG
This 491-nucleotide ribosomal RNA is filed under the name uncultured bacterium. Its description in RNAcentral is "partial 16S ribosomal RNA". It matches the Rfam family "Bacterial small subunit ribosomal RNA", at positions 29 to 507 of the family's 1533-position model. The record is from RNAcentral.